This 286-nucleotide long non-coding RNA is filed under the name Helianthus annuus (common sunflower). RNAcentral's name for it is "hypothetical non coding rna". The record is from RNAcentral. Lineage: Eukaryota; Viridiplantae; Streptophyta; Magnoliopsida; Asterales; Asteraceae.
UGAGAGGACGUGGGACCCGCCUUCUCUGCCAUUAACUCUGAGAAUGUGACCAUAACCGUUCAUAUGGACUACAGCAUGUAAAAGAUGACUGGUAUCAUCCAACUGGUUAUACAUCCAAUCCUCAACAUCUUCAGUAGUCAACACAUGGUUACAUGACUUGCACCUGUAAAAACCUUGAGUCAGACAAAUGGACGAAAGCGCCACAACCAGCACAUGGCUUGUUGUAGCCCCCAAUAGAAGCCCCAUCAGCCUUUAUUAUGAAAUGGUACCUCUUCCCACAUACUGG